GUGAACGCUAGUGAUAUGCUUAACACAUGCAAGUUUAAAUUAAUAUUAAAUAUUAAUAUUAAUAGCGUACGGGUGAAUAAAGCAUAAGAAUAUACUUUAUAUUUUGGAAAAGAAAUCCAGCAAAAUUGUAUUGGAAUAAAAUUAAAUAUAAUUUAAAAAUUAAGGUUGGUAUAAAAUGGGCUUAUGUAGAAUUAGAUAUUGAGUGAGGUAAUGGCUUACUUAGUCAAUGAUUCUUAGCUGAUCUUAGCGGAUGAUCAGCCACAUUGGGACUGAAACAUGGCCCAACCUCUUUUUAGGAGGCAGCAGUGAGGAAUUUUGGACAAUGAACGAAAGUUUGAUCCAGCAAUAUCACGUGAAUGAUGAAGGUUUAUUUUUUUUAUCGUAAAGUUCUUUCAAUGAGGAGGAUAAUGACAUUACUCAUAGAAGAAGUCCUGACCAAUCUCGU
This 445-nucleotide ribosomal RNA is filed under the name uncultured bacterium. RNAcentral's name for it is "partial 16S ribosomal RNA". It matches the Rfam family "Bacterial small subunit ribosomal RNA", at positions 29 to 506 of the family's 1533-position model. The record is from RNAcentral.